Molecule: ribosomal RNA, 468 nt
Filed under: uncultured bacterium
Lineage: Bacteria
Description: partial 16S ribosomal RNA
Rfam family: Bacterial small subunit ribosomal RNA
Source: RNAcentral
GAUGAACGCUGGCGGCGUGCUUAACACAUGCAAGUCGAACGGUGAGGCCCUGCUUUUGUGGGGUGCUCGAGUGGCGAACGGGUGAGUAACACGUGAGUAACCUGCCCUUGACUUUGGGAUAACUUCAGGAAACUGGGGCUAAUACCGGAUAGGUGCUGCUGCUGCAUGGUGGGGGUUGGAAAGUUUCGGCGGUUGGGGAUGGACUCGCGGCUUAUCAGCUUGUUGGUGGGGUAGUGGCUUACCAAGGCUUUGACGGGUAGCCGGCCUGAGAGGGUGACCGGCCACAUUGGGACUGAGAUACGGCCCAGACUCCUACGGGAGGCAGCAGUGGGGAAUAUUGCACAAUGGGCGGAAGCCUGAUGCAGCAACGCCGCGUGCGGGAUGACGGCCUUCGGGUUGUAAACCGCUUUCGCCUGUGACGAAGCGAGAGUGACGGUAAUGGGUAAAGAAGCACCGGCUAACUACGUG